Long non-coding RNA from Triplophysa rosa, 780 nucleotides. RefSeq lists it as uncharacterized. The transcript is spliced from 5 exons. Lineage: Eukaryota; Metazoa; Chordata; Actinopteri; Cypriniformes; Nemacheilidae. The record is from RefSeq and is a predicted model, not a curated record.
GUGACAACCGCGCGCAGCCUUCGACGAUACGGUCCUUAUAUCUGAAAGUUUGACUCAUGCAGGUGAUGCAGAAAUUACUUCAUGUCAAACUGUGGGAUGUCAGAGUAUGAAGAAGUUAAAACACUGACAGGAAGCCAUAAUGAAAUCUGGAGUUGCAACAUCCAACGUGUAAGAUAAGUGUGACACUGAAAGGAGAUUCCCAUUAAGCCUUUGGGUUGAAAGGUAAACAGAGGACUCCCUCUCCACCCCCGGCUAAAGUUUCCGCCUCCUGGCUUUUUCUGCGGACAGACUGGGAUUCUUGCUCUCAGCAUUAUGGCUUUGUGUUCCUGAGGCCAUCUGGACCACUUUUUCGUGUUUAUCAGGACGGUCUUUAAAAACUGAGCCAGCAAGUCAUUAAAAUUAGGCCUGUCUUCAUUUUGAUCAUGUUUUCAAUGCACUAUACCAUUGUUGGGGAAUGAACAGUUUCUGGAGCAAUUGGAGUACAAUGUUAUGUUUUAGUAUCAUUAUGUUUGUAUAAAGCAAUCAUCUGUUAUUUUGUUACUCAUUCUCAAAGUCAGGGGUUUGUUGGGUUGGCGGGUAAAAAACCUAAAAUUUGGGGGAACUUGUUCAAGCCAGUAAGCCACUGUCUGCCAACCACACAGAAUACCAUGGCAACCACAUAACAAUACACAGCCUAACAACCACACGUUUUUAUGCAUUGUGGGGACUUUCCAUAGACGUAAACUCUUUUCUACUGCACAAACUGUAUAUUCUUUUUCCCUCCCCUAACCGAACCCCAAA